GGCCGGUUGGCGUAAUGGCAACGCGUCAGUUUCCGGCAACAUGCUUAGUUGGAACUGCUGAAGAUUGCGGGUUCGAGUCCCGUGCUGGUCG
Molecule: non-coding RNA, 91 nt
Organism: Xylaria palmicola
Lineage: Eukaryota; Fungi; Ascomycota; Sordariomycetes; Xylariales; Xylariaceae
Source: the annotation of a GenBank genome assembly